CUAGCCCUGAAAAUGGAUGGCGCUCAAGCGUCCUCCCGAUACUCGACCGUUGGGGCAGUAACGGCCCUUGCGGGUCUCGAAGCCCCAACGAGUAGGAGGGUCGUGGCGGUGAGCGUUGAAGGGACCGGCGUGAGCCGGCCUGGAGCCGCCGCUAGUGCAGAUCUUGGUGGUAGUAGCAAAUACUCGAGUGAGAUCCUUGAGGACUGACCGUGGAGAAGGGUUCCAUGUGAACAUCAGUUGAACAUGGGUUAGUCGGUCCUAAGCCUCAGCCGAAAGGCGUCUCAGCGCUGGCAAGGUGUCAACCCAAACUCCUCUCUCCGGAGAGGGGGACGCUUUGGACCCGGAAAGACCCCAGCAAUGGGGUCAGGAAAGGUCCGUCGGGCGUCCUGGUCUCCUCCCAGCAAUGGGAGGGUCAGGCGUUUGCCGUACAGCCGUUGUAGAUUUGCAGGCGAAAGGAAUCUGGUACUUAUUCCAGAACCUCGUCCCGGAUAAGACGUCCCCGAGCCUUCGGGCGAGGGUAUAACGGUCCUGGUAACGGGAAUGACCCUGCAUACACUGCGGCGGUCCGGGGAAGAGUUUUCUUUUUCUGUUUAAGACUCCGUGACCCUGGAAGCUACUCGCAAGGCGAUAGGGUCGUGGUAGCGUAGAGCGCCGCGGUUCUUGCGGCGUCCCGUGCGCCGUCGUCGGUCCUUGAAAAUGCAGGCGAGGGCGGAAACCCAAGGUCGCAUCACGCACACGGGCCUCAAAACCUGUAUGGAAGUUGCCUCCGACGGGGUAGUAAGCUCUCUGACGUCCUUGACUGGUUAACCGAAGGGAAAGGUUCUCGAACCCUACCCCGAAGAAACACCAUCAUCUCGUCCGGUCAGACGGCGGAGUUGGUUCACACCAACACCCCAUCACGGACUUUCGGGCGAGUCCGUACCCAUAUCCGCAGCAGGUCUCCAAGGUGAAUAGCCUCUAGUCGAUAGAUUAAUGUAGGUAAGGGAAGUCGGCAAAUUA
This 999-nucleotide ribosomal RNA is filed under the name Euphausia superba (Antarctic krill). Its description in RNAcentral is "LSU rRNA". It matches the Rfam family "Eukaryotic large subunit ribosomal RNA", at positions 1306 to 1924 of the family's 3401-position model. The record is from RNAcentral. Lineage: Eukaryota; Metazoa; Arthropoda; Malacostraca; Euphausiacea; Euphausiidae.